This 31-nucleotide non-coding RNA is filed under the name Mus musculus (house mouse). The record is from RNAcentral. Lineage: Eukaryota; Metazoa; Chordata; Mammalia; Rodentia; Muridae.
UCGAAUGCUGCGAUGAAACAGCGCCCCCACC